RNAcentral lists this ribosomal RNA (465 nucleotides) under uncultured bacterium. Its description in RNAcentral is "partial 16S ribosomal RNA". It matches the Rfam family "Bacterial small subunit ribosomal RNA", at positions 28 to 507 of the family's 1533-position model. The record is from RNAcentral.
GACGAACGCUGGCGGCGUGCUUAACACAUGCAAGUCGAACGGAAAGGCCCUGCUUGCAGGGUACUCGAGUGGCGAACGGGUGAGUAACACGUGGGUGAUCUGCCCUGCACUUCGUGAUAAGCCUUGGAAACUGGGUCUAAUACCGGAUAGGAGCCAUUUUUCGUGUUAUGGUUGGAAAGUUUUUUCGGUGUAGGAUGAGAUCGCGGCCUAUGAGCUUGUUGGUUGGGUAAUGGCCUACCAAGGCGGCGACGGGUAGCCGGCCUGAGAGGGUGGACGGCCAAAUUGGGACUGAGAUACGGGCCAGAAUCCUACGGGGGGCAGCAGUGGGGGAUAUUGCACAAAGGGGGGGAGCCUGAAGCAGCGACGGCGCGUGGGGGAUGACGGGCUUCGGGUUGGAAACUCCUUUCGCUAGGGACGAAGCUUUGUGUGACGGUACCUAGAUAAGAAGCACCGGCUAACUACGUG